RNAcentral lists this ribosomal RNA (490 nucleotides) under uncultured bacterium. RNAcentral describes it as "partial 16S ribosomal RNA". It matches the Rfam family "Bacterial small subunit ribosomal RNA", at positions 30 to 507 of the family's 1533-position model. The record is from RNAcentral.
AUUGAACGCUGGCGGCAGGCCUAACACAUGCAAGUCGAACGGUAACAGGAAACAGCUUGCUGUUUCGCUGACGAGUGGCGGACGGGUGAGUAAUGUCUGGGAAACUGCCUGAUGGAGGGGGAUAACUACUGGAAACGGUAGCUAAUACCGCAUAACGUCGCAAGACCAAAGAGGGGGACCUUCGGGCCUCUUGCCAUCGGAUGUGCCCAGAUGGGAUUAGCUAGUAGGUGGGGUAACGGCUCACCUAGGCGACGAUCCCUAGCUGGUCUGAGAGGAUGACCAGCCACACUGGAACUGAGACACGGUCCAGACUCCUACGGGAGGCAGCAGUGGGGAAUAUUGCACGAUGGGCGCAAGCCUGAUGCAGCCAUGCCGCGUGUAUGAAGAAGGCCUUCGGGUUGUAAAGUACUUUCAGCGGGGAGGAAGGUAGUAAAGUUAAUACCUGUACUCAUUGACGUUACCCGCAGAAGAAGCACCGGCUAACUCCGUG